UACGUAGGGGGCAAGCGUUGUCCGGAUUUAUUGGGCGUAAAGAGCGUGUAGGCGGUUGGGUAGGUCCGUUGUGAAAACUCGAGGCUCAACCUCGAGACGCCGAUGGAAACCCCCCAGCUAGAGUCCGGAAGAGGAGAGUGGAAUUCCUGGUGUAGCGGUGAAAUGCGCAGAUAUCAGGAAGAACACCCGUGGCUAAGGCGGCUCUCUAGUACGGUACUGACGCUGAGACGCGAAAGCGUGGGGAGCGAACAGGAUUAGAUACCCUGGUAGUCCACGCCGUAAACGAUGGGUGCUAGGUGUAGGGGGUGUCGACUCCCUCUGUGCCGAAGCUAACGCAUUAAGCACCCCGCCUGGGGAGUACGGCCGCAAGGCUAAA
RNAcentral lists this ribosomal RNA (376 nucleotides) under uncultured bacterium. Its description in RNAcentral is "bacterial SSU rRNA". It matches the Rfam family "Bacterial small subunit ribosomal RNA", at positions 524 to 898 of the family's 1533-position model. The record is from RNAcentral.